Molecule: ribosomal RNA, 200 nt
Filed under: uncultured bacterium
Lineage: Bacteria
Description: partial 16S ribosomal RNA
Rfam family: Bacterial small subunit ribosomal RNA
Source: RNAcentral
ACGCUCGACACCUACGGGAGCAGCAGUCGGGAAUAUUGCGCAAUGGAGGAAACUCUGACGCAGUGACGCCGCGUGCAGGAAGAAGGUUUUCGGAUUGUAAACUGCUUUAGACAGGGAAGAAAGAAAUGACAGUACCUGUAGAAUAAGCUCCGGCUAACUACGUGUCAGCAGCCGCGGUAAUCUGAGCGGGCUGGCAAGGC